CAUGAGAUAGUGUCGUUUAUUGAAAAAUAAGGGAAAAAUAUUCGUUUCCUUCAGGCUCAUAACCUGAAGGCCGCAGGUUCAAAUCCUGCUCCACAACCA
RNAcentral lists this transfer RNA (99 nucleotides) under Pseudochelatococcus contaminans. RNAcentral describes it as "tRNA-Met". The stretch from base 29 to 90 matches the Rfam family "tRNA", at positions 7 to 64 of the family's 71-position model. From Rfam's summary of the family: Transfer RNA (tRNA) molecules are approximately 80 nucleotides in length. Their secondary structure includes four short double-helical elements and three loops (D, anti-codon, and T loops). Lineage: Bacteria; Pseudomonadati; Pseudomonadota; Alphaproteobacteria; Hyphomicrobiales; Chelatococcaceae. The record is from RNAcentral.